Non-coding RNA from Salvia hispanica, 269 nucleotides. The record is from RefSeq and is a predicted model, not a curated record. NCBI's taxonomy places the organism in Eukaryota, Viridiplantae, Streptophyta, Magnoliopsida, Lamiales, Lamiaceae.
UGCAUUCCUAUAAGUAUGAGAACUUCUUGAGUCUUAUUAGUACGUUGUUUGCUUUCAAAAGGCUAUAUCUGCGAGUAAAGGCGGAGUGAGGAAAAAUCAAUUUAAGGAGUUUUAAGCGAACGAGGUUGAGCAGUGAUGACGGCGGGCGGUGUUGAGCAUAGACGAUGAAGAUCAUUCGAUAGAAUAGUACUUGGAUGCGUCGUGUCUCCAUACACGAUGUCAUCUGCUCUUGACUCUUCCGCUGCAAUGUAAAAGUCGAGAUUUCAUUC